CCCUUAGACGUUCUGGGCCGCACGCGCGCUACACUGGCCAGUGCAACAAGCAUCCGUCCUUGGCCGACAGGCCCGGGCAAUCUUUGAACGCUGGUCGUGAUGGGGAUAGACUUUUGCAAUUUUUGGUCUUCAACGAGGAAUUCCUAGUAAACGCAAGUCAUCAACUUGCAUUGAUUACGUCCCUGCCCUUUGUACACACCGCCCGUCGCACCUACCGAUUGAAUGGUCCGGUGAAGCCUCCGGAUUGGCGCGCACCUCGGUGCCGCCGAGAAGUUGGCUAAACCUUACCAUUUAGAGGAAGGUGAANUCGUANCA
Molecule: ribosomal RNA, 315 nt
Filed under: uncultured eukaryote
Lineage: Eukaryota
Description: partial 18S ribosomal RNA
Rfam family: Eukaryotic small subunit ribosomal RNA
Source: RNAcentral